UGAGAACUGAUCAUUUCCUUUCCUCUUUAUACCAACCAAUGGGGCAGGUACCAUUAUUAAAGGGGGAGGAAAUAGAGGUUAAAUAACAUGCCCCCAAUCAGUAGUGGGGAAAUGAAAGAAUCAGGAUUCAAAGCCAGGUUUGUCUGGGUCUUGGGACCAGCUCAGCGUCUGUGCUGUACUGCCCGGGACUCCUGCUGCCAAUUCUUUCUACCUCAUUAUCCCUCAACCCUGCACCAGCAAAUCCACAGGGCGUGAGAUGAAGAGAAGAGAGGACCACAGGCGAGAAAGUGGCAGCAGCAAGAGAAGAUGUACCAUGAGGAAGUUCUGGGAGGUUCUGCCCGUCUUUCUGAGAACAGGGGAGAGACAGAGCUGAGUUACAACUGCACUGCUUCUUAGCUUCUUAGUUUCUCUUCAGAAUUAGUGGCAAAGAAGAGUUUUCGAAGUCUUUAGCAUGUAUUAAACGAAGAAUUUUGUUUAUAAGAAAAAAUUGU
This 491-nucleotide long non-coding RNA is filed under the name Homo sapiens (human). Its description in RNAcentral is "HSALNT0115257". Lineage: Eukaryota; Metazoa; Chordata; Mammalia; Primates; Hominidae. The record is from RNAcentral.